Non-coding RNA from Salmo salar (Atlantic salmon), 54 nucleotides. The record is from Rfam. NCBI's taxonomy places the organism in Eukaryota, Metazoa, Chordata, Actinopteri, Salmoniformes, Salmonidae.
UGCAUUCACUACUGUAAGUCGCUCUGGAUAAGAGUGUCUGCUAUAUGACGUAAA